This 698-nucleotide ribosomal RNA is filed under the name Mucor hiemalis f. hiemalis. RNAcentral describes it as "LSU rRNA". It matches the Rfam family "Eukaryotic large subunit ribosomal RNA", at positions 66 to 669 of the family's 3401-position model. The record is from RNAcentral. Lineage: Eukaryota; Fungi; Mucoromycota; Mucoromycetes; Mucorales; Mucoraceae.
UAACAAUGAUUUCCCUAGUAACGGCGAGUGAAGAGGAAAGAGCUCAAAGUUGGAACCUGUUUGGCUUAGCUAAACCGGAUUGUAAACUGUAGAAGUGUUUUCCAGACACGCCUGGUAAAAAAGUCCUUUGGAACAGGGCAUCAUAGAGGGUGAGAAUCCCGUCAUUGGCCAGAGCUGUUGUCUUUUGUGAUACAUUUUCAAAGAGUCAGGUUGUUUGGGAAUGCAGCCUAAAUUGGGUGGUAAAUCUCACCUAAAGCUAAAUAUUUGCGAGAGACCGAUAGCGAACAAGUACCGUGAGGGAAAGAUGAAAAGAACUUUGAAAAGAGAGUUAAACAGUAUGUGAAAUUGUUAAAAGGGAACCGUUUGGAGCCAGACUGGCUUAACUGUAAUCAAUCUAGGCUUUGGCCUGGAUGCACUUGCGGUUUAUGCCGGCCAACGACAGUUUUGUUUGAGGGAAAAAAUUACAUUGAAUGUGGCCCUUCGGGGUGUUAUAGCUUUGUAAAAAAUACCUUGGACUGGACUGAGGAACGCAGUGAAUGCCUUUAGGCAAGAUUGCUGGGUGCUUUCGCUAAUAAAUGCUAGAAUUUCUGCUUCGGGUGGUGCUAGUGUUUAAAGGAGGAACUCGCUUAGUAUAUUUUUUAUUCGCUUAGGUUGUUGGCUUAAUGACUCUAAAUGACCCGUCUUGAAACACGGACCAA